GUCGUCAGCUCGUGUCGUGAGAUGUUGGGUUAAGUCCCGCAACGAGCGCAACCCUCGCCUUUAGUUGCCAGCAUUCAGUUGGGCACUCUAGAGGGACUGCCGGUGUCAAACCGGAGGAAGGUGGGAUGACGUCAAGUCCUCAUGGCCUUUAUGUCUAGGGCUACACACGUACUACAAUGGCCGGUACAAAGGGCAGCCACUCAGCGAUGAGGCGCUAAUCCCAUAAAGCCGGUCUCAGUCCGGAUCGCAGUCUGCAACUCGACUGCGUGAAGUUGGAAUCGCUAGUAAUCGCGGAUCAGCAUGCCGCGGUCGAAUACGUUCCCGGGCCUU
This 330-nucleotide ribosomal RNA is filed under the name uncultured Desulfovibrio sp. RNAcentral describes it as "bacterial SSU rRNA". It matches the Rfam family "Bacterial small subunit ribosomal RNA", at positions 1051 to 1382 of the family's 1533-position model. Lineage: Bacteria; Pseudomonadati; Thermodesulfobacteriota; Desulfovibrionia; Desulfovibrionales; Desulfovibrionaceae. The record is from RNAcentral.